This 484-nucleotide long non-coding RNA is filed under the name Felis catus (domestic cat). RNAcentral describes it as "lncRNA (ENSFCAG00000049801.1)". Lineage: Eukaryota; Metazoa; Chordata; Mammalia; Carnivora; Felidae. The record is from RNAcentral.
AUGAGCUAUGACUUUCAUUCCAAAGUUCUGCUUUGCUCCAGGUUCACGUAUAUACAGGAAAUUGAUGACAAGGCAGUGCUAUCCCACGCCGUGCUUCAGAGUAGUGUGUUUAUCAGCAGACAGUCUGGCAGACGGACCUGGGGAAGCACAUACCAGCUCUGCACGGCAGCAAACAGCCUCCAACUUGGGCAGUGGCAUCCAGGAGCCGUCCCCCUGGGGCAGUGGCAUCCAGGUAUUCUACGAGGUGCUCAGGCUGCCAGCAUGAAGUCCAAAUGUACUGCUUCUCCUCUUUUUUGCUCCCCGUGGAAGUUAUAUAUCUCAUAGCCUUUGUUCUGGUCCUGAUACCACUUUCACCAGUCAUUCUGUUUCAUUGUGUUCUCCUUCCAGAAAGGGAGUCAGUCAAUUAAUGAAUCCUUUGAUUAUCCUAAAUAACUUACCAAUAUAUAUAAUUCAAAUAAACUGGAUUUGUGAAAGGGUAAAGCCA